This is a long non-coding RNA of Oxyura jamaicensis (ruddy duck), 1730 nucleotides long. RefSeq lists it as uncharacterized. NCBI's taxonomy places the organism in Eukaryota, Metazoa, Chordata, Aves, Anseriformes, Anatidae. The transcript is spliced from 2 exons. The record is from RefSeq and is a predicted model, not a curated record.
UGCAGGCAGCAUGACAUAGUUAGAAAAGGGCCCACAGAAACAAGAUGGGGACAGUAAGUAGAGUGAUGGAUGGAGCAGAUGAUCUGUUCCAAAUCCAAAGGCAGUGCAGAGGACCACAGAAGAACCACGCAGAAUAAUUGACUGUGUGCAUGCAGCCAUCUUGCCUCUCUGUCUGGUGCCACUUUAAACAUUUCAGACACAUAAAUUCCCCUUGUUUGCUGAAUGCUUUUUAAAUUCACGGACAAAUAUGCAUCUUACCUAUCUACUUUCAUAGGAUCAUGUUCUUUCAUCCAGUCAGCAAAGUCAUGCCAGUGAUCAGUAGUUUUCCAGGGGUCUUUCCCCUUGAAAAAGUCUGGGCAGAUGGUUCUGUGUGAGACAUGGAAACAAGUCAACUUCACAUCCAGCUCCUGGCUACUAAAGUGUGCCGCAGAGCUGCGAGAACUGGGUGGAUGUGACAUUGCUGCUAGAAUCAAGCUGCUUCACAGAUAGCCAUGAGACGGGUGAUCUUACACAGUGAGUAAUUCCCUAUGCUGAUAACUGAGAGCUGAUUACACUUGUUAAUUGUUCUCCCGCCUUUUUCAACAUCUGAAUGUCAGGCUUGGUAUUAGGAAGCAUGAAUUAUCCUGAUCUUCAGCAUUAAAACUUCCAUUGCUUUGGCAUUACAUGCAAGUAGAAGUUGUAACAUGUGGGAGAGUAUCUCCUAGCUUACGUCCCCAAUAACAGGCCUGAAAAUGCUUGAAUGAUGUCUGUUUAUGCAAAAGUAAUUCCUACAUGUUUGUUUGUUUGUUUUUAACCUAAGAUGAAUGAGGUUGUUGAAGUGCAAGAGACUGCUUGAAGAACUGACAGGCAUUCCCAAAGUCAGCUAACGCCACUGGCUUCUGAGAUGGCAGCCACAGUCUUAACCCAUUAGCACCUUUAGUUCAGAAGGGCACAGCCUAUGGUGUCCCCUUCAAGGAAAUAGCGUUUAGGAGGCAUUAAGCUUUGCAAUAGUUGUGAAAGAGCCUACUGUCUAUCUUUUGGUAGCUUCCCAGAAAUCAUUUCUUUGGCCUAUCUUGAUUGAUUCCCAGCCAGCUGGCUCUUCUCCAGGCACCCGGCUGCGAAGACCUUAGUAAAUAGCCAGCCACACCUGAACUGCUUAGAAGUCUUUGAUGGGAUCCUGUUUAGUCAGAAGCUUUAUUUGUUCCCUCCCGCUUUGAUCCAUGCAACACGGUGCGGUGAAGCAACGACCCAGGAUAUUUCCUACCUGUCCUGUCUCACCUCAUUCCCUCUUGCCACCGAUUUCAUCCAUUACACUUUUCCUCUUCCUGCUUUACCCACGGCCCGGUUCCAGGCACGCAGAACCUCACCUCUACAGCCUGCUUCUCAUCACUGAGCUCUAGCACGGACAAGACACGGGCACAAAGCAAGGAGCAGGGGAAACUACUGCUGAAACUACUGCUAACAGGGAACAAGCAGAGACAUCCAGGAGUUUCAGGGCAUCCUUUUGCUGUUUAGAGAAAGCCUCCUUAUAGCUUCUUCGUCUCACUUCCUCGGUUCCCUGAGUUCCUCAGUGCCACCUGGCUUUUGUGCAUGUAACAAAAAACUGAGGAGAAUCAUUUAGUGUUAUCACAAGGCAAAGGUGGGCUCCCAUGGAGAGCAAGACAGACCCAAACUAAUUGAUUUGUAGGGAGCAGCACAUAACAUGAUUAAAAUCUGUCAAGUCUUGGUAUUCAUUUUAAAAAAAAAAAAAA